GUGUCUAUGGUGUAAUGGUUAGCAUUUGGACUUUGAAUCCAGCGAUCCGAGUUCAAGUCUCGGUAGAACCU
Molecule: transfer RNA, 71 nt
Filed under: Lingula anatina
Lineage: Eukaryota; Metazoa; Brachiopoda; Lingulata; Lingulida; Lingulidae
Rfam family: tRNA
About the family: Transfer RNA (tRNA) molecules are approximately 80 nucleotides in length. Their secondary structure includes four short double-helical elements and three loops (D, anti-codon, and T loops). Further hydrogen bonds mediate the characteristic L-shaped molecular structure. tRNAs have two regions of fundamental functional importance: the anti-codon, which is responsible for specific mRNA codon recognition, and the 3' end, to which the tRNAs corresponding amino acid is attached (by aminoacyl-tRNA synthetases). tRNAs cope with the degeneracy of the genetic code in two manners: having more than one tRNA (with a specific anti-codon) for a particular amino acid; and 'wobble' base-pairing, i.e. permitting non-standard base-pairing at the 3rd anti-codon position.
Source: Rfam by way of RNAcentral